AACGAACGCUGGCGGCAGGCUUAACACAUGCAAGUCGAGCGCCCCGCAAGGGGAGCGGCAGACGGGUGAGUACCGCGUGGGAACGUACCUUUUGGUUCGGAACAACUCCGGGAAACUGGAGCUAAUACCGGAUAAGCCCUAACGGGGAAAGAUUUAUCGCCGAAAGAUCGGCCCGCGUCUGAUUAGCUAGUUGGUGAGGUAACGGCUCACCAAGGCGACGAUCAGUAGCUGGUCUGAGAGGAUGAUCAGCCACACUGGGACUGAGACACGACCCAGACUCCUACGGGAGGCAGCAGUGGGGAAUAUUGGACAAGGGGCGCAAGCCUGAUCCAGCCAUGCCGCGUGAGUGAUGAAGGCCUUAGGGUUGUAAAGCUCUUUUGUCCGGGAAGAUAAUGACUGUACCGGAAGAAUAAGCCCCGGCUAACUUCGUG
RNAcentral lists this ribosomal RNA (431 nucleotides) under uncultured bacterium. RNAcentral's name for it is "partial 16S ribosomal RNA". It matches the Rfam family "Bacterial small subunit ribosomal RNA", at positions 29 to 507 of the family's 1533-position model. The record is from RNAcentral.